Molecule: ribosomal RNA, 475 nt
Filed under: uncultured organism
Description: partial 16S ribosomal RNA
Rfam family: Bacterial small subunit ribosomal RNA
Source: RNAcentral
GUACACUCCUGCGGGAGGCAGCAGUGGGGAAUUUUGGACAAUGGGCGAAAGCCUGAUCCAGCAAUGCCGCGUGUGUGAAGAAGGCCUUCGGGUUGUAAAGCACUUUUGUCCGGAAAGAAAUCCUUGGCUCUAAUACAGUCGGGGGAUGACGGUACCGGAAGAAUAAGCACCGGCUAACUACGUGCCAACAGCCGCGGUAAUACGUAGGGUGCGAGCGUUAAUCGGAAUUACUGGGCGUAAAGCGUGCGCAGGCGGUUUGCUAAGACCGAUGUGAAAUCCCCGGGCUCAACCUGGGAACUGCAUCGGUGACUGGCAGGCUAGAGUAUGGCAGAGGGGGGUAGAAUUCCACGUGUAGCAGUGAAAUGCGUAGAGAUGUGGAGGAAUACCGAUGGCGAAGGCAGCCCCCUGGGCCAAUACUGACGCUCAUGCACGAAAGCGUGGGGAGCAAACAGGAUUAGAAACCCCGGUAGUCCCA